GCUGUUGUAGCUCAGUUGGUAGAGCAACUGAUUCGUAAUCAGUAGGUCGGAGGUUCAAUUCCCCCCAACAGCACCA
This 76-nucleotide transfer RNA is filed under the name Nitrosomonadaceae bacterium. Its description in RNAcentral is "tRNA-Thr". It matches the Rfam family "tRNA". From Rfam's summary of the family: Transfer RNA (tRNA) molecules are approximately 80 nucleotides in length. Their secondary structure includes four short double-helical elements and three loops (D, anti-codon, and T loops). The record is from RNAcentral. Lineage: Bacteria; Pseudomonadati; Pseudomonadota; Betaproteobacteria; Nitrosomonadales; Nitrosomonadaceae.